Strongyloides venezuelensis is the source of this 74-nucleotide transfer RNA. It matches the Rfam family "tRNA". Rfam says of the family: Transfer RNA (tRNA) molecules are approximately 80 nucleotides in length. Their secondary structure includes four short double-helical elements and three loops (D, anti-codon, and T loops). NCBI's taxonomy places the organism in Eukaryota, Metazoa, Nematoda, Chromadorea, Rhabditida, Strongyloididae. The record is from Rfam.
GAUUUCGUGGUGUAGUCGGUUAUCACAUCUGUCUAACACACAGAAGGUCGGCGGUUCGAAUCCGCCCGAAAUCA